Molecule: long non-coding RNA, 2337 nt
Filed under: Homo sapiens (human)
Lineage: Eukaryota; Metazoa; Chordata; Mammalia; Primates; Hominidae
Description: non-protein coding HOTAIR:5
Source: RNAcentral
CUAAUCAAUCCAAAAGGAAAAAGAAAAGAGAGGGGUGGGAAGGCAUGGGGUGAAAAACUUCAGGUGACACAAAGCAAAAAGAUUCCAGUCACCAAAAACAAAAACAAAAAAAAAUCUUUUGCCCCCAGCAAGAAUCAUUUGUUUGGGAUCUGUUCCAGCCUCCAGGCCCUGCCUUCUGCCUGCACAUUCUGCCCUGAUUUCCGGAACCUGGAAGCCUAGGCAGGCAGUGGGGAACUCUGACUCGCCUGUGCUCUGGAGCUUGAUCCGAAAGCUUCCACAGUGAGGACUGCUCCGUGGGGUCCUGCUCCGCUUCGCAGUGGAAUGGAACGGAUUUAGAAGCCUGCAGUAGGGGAGUGGGGAGUGGAGAGAGGGAGCCCAGAGUUACAGACGGCGGCGAGAGGAGGGGCGUCUUUAUUUUUUUAAGGCCCCAAAGAGUCUGAUGUUUACAAGACCAGAAAUGCCACGGCCGCGUCCUGGCAGAGAAAAGGCUGAAAUGGAGGACCGGCGCCUUCCUUAUAAGCUCGUUGGGGCCUAAGCCAGUACCGACCUGGUAGAAAAAGCAACCACGAAGCUAGAGAGAGAGCCAGAGGAGGGAAGAGAGCGCCAGACGAAGGUGAAAGCGAACCACGCAGAGAAAUGCAGGCAAGGGAGCAAGGCGGCAGUUCCCGGAACAAACGUGGCAGAGGGCAAGACGGGCACUCACAGACAGAGGUUUAUGUAUUUUUAUUUUUUAAAAUCUGAUUUGGUGUUCCAUGAGGAAAAGGGAAAAUCUAGGGAACGGGAGUACAGAGAGAAUAAUCCGGGUCCUAGCUCGCCACAUGAACGCCCAGAGAACGCUGGAAAAACCUGAGCGGGUGCCGGGGCAGCACCCGGCUCGGGUCAGCCACUGCCCCACACCGGGCCCACCAAGCCCCGCCCCUCGCGGCCACCGGGGCUUCCUUGCUCUUCUUAUCAUCUCCAUCUUUAUGAUGAGGCUUGUUAACAAGACCAGAGAGCUGGCCAAGCACCUCUAUCUCAGCCGCGCCCGCUCAGCCGAGCAGCGGUCGGUGGGGGGACUGGGAGGCGCUAAUUAAUUGAUUCCUUUGGACUGUAAAAUAUGGCGGCGUCUACACGGAACCCAUGGACUCAUAAACAAUAUAUCUGUUGGGCGUGAGUGCACUGUCUCUCAAAUAAUUUUUCCAUAGGCAAAUGUCAGAGGGUUCUGGAUUUUUAGUUGCUAAGGAAAGAUCCAAAUGGGACCAAUUUUAGGAGGCCCAAACAGAGUCCGUUCAGUGUCAGAAAAUGCUUCCCCAAAGGGGUUGGGAGUGUGUUUUGUUGGAAAAAAGCUUGGGUUAUAGGAAAGCCUUUCCCUGCUACUUGUGUAGACCCAGCCCAAUUUAAGAAUUACAAGGAAGCGAAGGGGUUGUGUAGGCCGGAAGCCUCUCUGUCCCGGCUGGAUGCAGGGGACUUGAGCUGCUCCGGAAUUUGAGAGGAACAUAGAAGCAAAGGUCCAGCCUUUGCUUCGUGCUGAUUCCUAGACUUAAGAUUCAAAAACAAAUUUUUAAAAGUGAAACCAGCCCUAGCCUUUGGAAGCUCUUGAAGGUUCAGCACCCACCCAGGAAUCCACCUGCCUGUUACACGCCUCUCCAAGACACAGUGGCACCGCUUUUCUAACUGGCAGCACAGAGCAACUCUAUAAUAUGCUUAUAUUAGGUCUAGAAGAAUGCAUCUUGAGACACAUGGGUAACCUAAUUAUAUAAUGCUUGUUCCAUACAGGAGUGAUUAUGCAGUGGGACCCUGCUGCAAACGGGACUUUGCACUCUAAAUAUAGACCCCAGCUUGGGACAAAAGUUGCAGUAGAAAAAUAGACAUAGGAGAACACUUAAAUAAGUGAUGCAUGUAGACACAGAAGGGGUAUUUAAAAGACAGAAAUAAUAGAAGUACAGAAGAACAGAAAAAAAAUCAGCAGAUGGAGAUUACCAUUCCCAAUGCCUGAACUUCCUCCUGCUAUUAAGAUUGCUAGAGAAUUGUGUCUUAAACAGUUCAUGAACCCAGAAGAAUGCAAUUUCAAUGUAUUUAGUACACACACAGUAUGUAUAUAAACACAACUCACAGAAUAUAUUUUCCAUACAUUGGGUAGGUAUGCACUUUGUGUAUAUAUAAUAAUGUAUUUUCCAUGCAGUUUUAAAAUGUAGAUAUAUUAAUAUCUGGAUGCAUUUUCUGUGCACUGGUUUUAUAUGCCUUAUGGAGUAUAUACUCACAUGUAGCUAAAUAGACUCAGGACUGCACAUUCCUUGUGUAGGUUGUGUGUGUGUGGUGGUUUUAUGCAUAAAUAAAGUUUUACAUGUGGUGAAUAUA